GACCAUUUGACCUCAAAUCAGGUAGGACUACCCGCUGAACUUAAGCAUAUCAAUAAGCGGAGGAAAAGAAACUAACAAGGAUUCCCCUAGUAACUGCGAGUGAAGCGGGAAAAGCUCAAAUUUAAAAUCUGGCUAGCUUCGCUGCCCGAGUUGUAAUCUAGAGAAGCAUUAUCAGCGCUCGCGGCGUGUACAAGUGUCCUGGAAUGGACCAUCAUAGAGGGUGACAAUCCCGUCUUUGACAUGGCUGCCUU
This 251-nucleotide ribosomal RNA is filed under the name Termitomyces clypeatus. Its description in RNAcentral is "partial 28S ribosomal RNA". It matches the Rfam family "Eukaryotic large subunit ribosomal RNA", at positions 1 to 240 of the family's 3401-position model. Lineage: Eukaryota; Fungi; Basidiomycota; Agaricomycetes; Agaricales; Lyophyllaceae. The record is from RNAcentral.